This 497-nucleotide ribosomal RNA is filed under the name uncultured bacterium. Its description in RNAcentral is "partial 16S ribosomal RNA". It matches the Rfam family "Bacterial small subunit ribosomal RNA", at positions 28 to 507 of the family's 1533-position model. The record is from RNAcentral.
GAUGAACGCUGGCGGCGUGCCUAAUACAUGCAAGUCGAGCGAACAGAUGAGGAGCUUGCUCCUCUGACGUUAGCGGCGGACGGGUGAGUAACACGUGGAUAACCUACCUAUAAGACUGGGAUAACUUCGUGAAACAGGAGCUAAUACCGGAUAAUAUAUUGAACCGCAUGGUUCAAUAGUGAAAGACGGUUUUGCUGUCACUUAUAGAUGGAUCCGCGCCGCAUUAGCUAGUUGGUAAGGUAACGGCUUACCAAGGCAACGAUGCGUAGCCGACCUGAGAGGGUGAUCGGCCACACUGGAACUGAGACACGGUCCAGACUCCUACGGGAGGCAGCAGUAGGGAAUCUUCCGCAAUGGGCGAAAGCCUGACGGAGCAACGCCGCGUGAGUGAUGAAGGUCUUCGGAUCGUAAAACUCUGUUAUUAGGGAAGAACAAAUGUGUAAGUAACUAUGCACGUCUUGACGGUACCUAAUCAGAAAGCCACGGCUAACUACGUG